UACGAAGGGGGCUAGCGUUGCUCGGAAUCACUGGGCGUAAAGCGCACGUAGGCGGCUUUUUAAGUCAGGGGUGAAAUCCUGGAGCUCAACUCCAGAACUGCCUUUGAUACUGAGAAGCUUGAGUCCGGGAGAGGUGAGUGGAACUGCGAGUGUAGAGGUGAAAUUCGUAGAUAUUCGCAAGAACACCAGUGGCGAAGGCGGCUCACCGGCCCGGUACUGACGCUGAGGUGCGAAAGCGUGGGGAGCAAACAGG
Molecule: ribosomal RNA, 253 nt
Filed under: uncultured bacterium
Lineage: Bacteria
Description: partial 16S ribosomal RNA
Rfam family: Bacterial small subunit ribosomal RNA
Source: RNAcentral